Non-coding RNA from Cherax quadricarinatus, 649 nucleotides. The record is from RefSeq and is a predicted model, not a curated record. NCBI's taxonomy places the organism in Eukaryota, Metazoa, Arthropoda, Malacostraca, Decapoda, Parastacidae.
UUAUGGGGCUAUAGGACCCAACAUGUAUUUAUAAGUAACAGUUACUCUGGAAUACCUAAUUAUAUUGAAUUGAUGGGGACUUUGCUCUAAAUGUCAGAAGGACUGAUCAACCUUAUGACUGAGAAGCAGCUGGGUCAAGCCUAUUUUUCUCAAUAUAAUAGGUUAUACUAUAGACACAUAAACACACAAAUUUAAAUAAGUAGUUUAUAAAGUUGUAUUUCCUUUUGUAAAAGUAAAAUUAAGGUGUGGUAGAAUUGUGGUAACUGGAGAAUUGUGCUUGGCAACAGUCUUUUGUUUUGGUGGGAGGAGCUUAGCCUCUUUCUCUCUCUCCCUCGCACUGACUCGUCUCUCUGUGGCUGGCCUUCAACCUGGCAGGAUCUCUGGGUCCUUCUUCUAUCUUUUGGGGCAUUAUGUGUGCUCCAGGGGUGAGUUUUUAUAAUUUAAGUUGUGACCACCAUACCCAGGGUGACUAAAGUGUGUCAAAACACUGGUUAGCCCAGAGUUAUGUCAAGGAGAGAGAGGACUAAAGUUGUUGAGAUAUACCAUGUGGGAGAACAGCUAUGCAGUGUGUAGAUCGUUGUUUUGAAAAUGUGAGGCUGUAAUUGUAUAUUCUGUACAUAUCUAUUGAGAAUACAGUUAUAUUUUUAUA